This 329-nucleotide long non-coding RNA is filed under the name Gossypium barbadense (sea-island cotton). RNAcentral's name for it is "long non-coding RNA (GBAR_LNC004377)". Lineage: Eukaryota; Viridiplantae; Streptophyta; Magnoliopsida; Malvales; Malvaceae. The record is from RNAcentral.
AAUUAGAUCUGAAACGAAACAGAAAAUUAAAAGAUUAGAUUUUUGAAUUUUCAGAUCUGAAAUAAAAUCCCCAAAUCAGCAAAGAAUCAAAUUGAGAAUAGAAAUAAGUGUUAGGGUUCUUGAAACCCUCAAGGAGAUUGUGAUUCUGCCCAAUUGAACACCAAGAUAGUUUUCCCCAAAUUUCGACAAUCUAAUUUCACCCAAAAAUAGUAUGGAAAAACCCUAGAAAUUGGGGAUUUUUGGGCUGAUUCCUUAAGAUAGAAAAAGGCUGAAAACACAAUAAGAACAGAAAAUAGAUUAGAUAAUGAUUCAGCACAAGUAGAAAUAAA